GAGGGAAUAGCUCAGUGGUAGAGUGCAUGCUCAGCAUGCACAAGGUCCUGGGUUCAAUCCCCAGCACCUCCU
RNAcentral lists this transfer RNA (72 nucleotides) under Camelus bactrianus (Bactrian camel). It matches the Rfam family "tRNA". From Rfam's summary of the family: Transfer RNA (tRNA) molecules are approximately 80 nucleotides in length. Their secondary structure includes four short double-helical elements and three loops (D, anti-codon, and T loops). The record is from Rfam by way of RNAcentral. Lineage: Eukaryota; Metazoa; Chordata; Mammalia; Artiodactyla; Camelidae. RNAcentral also lists the same sequence under 3 other names.